UACGGAGGGUGCAAGCGUUAUCCGGAAUCACUGGGUUUAAAGGGUACGUAGGCGGUUGGAUAAGUCAGACGUUAAAGGCUGUAGCUAAACUAUGGUACGCGUUUGAAACUGUCUAACUUGAAUAUGUUCGAGGUGCAUGGAAUGUAUCAUGUAGCGGUGAAAUGCAUAGAUAUGAUAUAGAACACCAAUUGCGAAGGCAGUGCACUAGGGCAUCAUUGACGCUGAGGUACGAAAGCGUGGGUAGCGAACAGG
This 252-nucleotide ribosomal RNA is filed under the name uncultured bacterium. Its description in RNAcentral is "partial 16S ribosomal RNA". It matches the Rfam family "Bacterial small subunit ribosomal RNA", at positions 524 to 776 of the family's 1533-position model. The record is from RNAcentral.